GGGAGGAACACCAGUGGCGAAGGCGACUUUCUGGACUGUAACUGACGCUGAGGCGCGAAAGCGUGGGGAGUAAACAGGAUUAGAUACCCUGGUAGUCCACGCCGUAAACGAUGAGUGCCAGGUGUAGAGGGUAUCGACCCCUUCUGUGCCGCAGUUAACACAAUAAGCACUCCGCCUGGGGAGUACGGUCGCAAGACUGAAACUCAAAGGAAUUGACGGGGGCCCGCACAAGCAGCGGAGCAUGUGGUUUAAUUCGACGCAACGCGAAGAACCUUACCAGGACUUGACAUCCCUCGCUAUAGGCAGAAAUGUUUAGUUCCCUUCGGGGACGAGGAGACAGGUGGUGCACGGUUGUCGUCAGCUCGUGUCGUGAGAUGUUGGGUUAAGUCCCGCAACGAGCGCAACCCUUAUCCCUAGUUGCCAGCGUGAAAGACGGGCACUCUAGGGAGACUGCCGGUGACAAACCGGAGGGAGGUGGGGAUGACGUCAAAUCAUCAUGCCCCUUAUGUCCUGGGCUACACACGUGCUACAAUGGGCUGUACAGAGGGAAGCAAUCCCGCGAGGGGGAGCAAAUCCCAUAAAACAGCUCUCAGUUCAGAUCGUAGGCUGCAACUCGCCUGCGUGAAGAUGGAGUUGCUAGUAAUCGCGGAUCAGCAUGCCGCGGUGAAUGCGUUCCCGGGCCUUGCACACACCGCCCGUC
RNAcentral lists this ribosomal RNA (700 nucleotides) under uncultured Clostridiaceae bacterium. RNAcentral's name for it is "bacterial SSU rRNA". It matches the Rfam family "Bacterial small subunit ribosomal RNA", at positions 699 to 1398 of the family's 1533-position model. The record is from RNAcentral. Lineage: Bacteria; Bacillati; Bacillota; Clostridia; Eubacteriales; Clostridiaceae.